CACCCCUGCAGGUCAUGUUGAUAUGCAACAUGUAAGGGAAGCUCACAAAAUAGACUCCUCCAACGUGACCCUUAAAGUGAUGCCGGGCAUAACACGGUGUCACCUGGAUCCUAAUGGAUUUGAGAAGAUGAGGGUCAGCUAUGCCUUCCAGCUUUUUGGGACAAAAGUCCUCCAAGCUUUCCACCUAUACAAAGACAAGUUGGAAGCAACACUUGGAAGGAUGGAUGUAACACAAGAGUUCUUCAGCAAAAUCCACCAGCUCAUAAGAGUGAUGACAUCGCGGUUCCCUGCUGAAGCCCUCAGACCGUGUUCAU
Molecule: long non-coding RNA, 314 nt
Organism: Rhipicephalus microplus (southern cattle tick)
Lineage: Eukaryota; Metazoa; Arthropoda; Arachnida; Ixodida; Ixodidae
Source: RefSeq, a predicted model, not a curated record